AGCGAACGCUGGCGGCAGGCUUAACACAUGCAAGUCGAGCGGGCAUCCUUGUGGUGUCAGCGGCAGACGGGUGAGUAACGCGUGGGAACGUGCCCUUCGGCUCGGAAUAACUCAGGGAAACUUGAGCUAAUACCGGAUACGUGCGAGAGCAGAAAGGUUUAUCUGCCGAAGGAUCGGCCCGCGUCUGAUUAGCUAGUUGGUGAGGUUAUGGCUCACCAAGGCGACGAUCAGUAGCUGGUCUGAGAGGAUGAUCAGCCACACUGGGACUGAGACACGGCCCAGACUCCUACGGGAGGCAGCAGUGGGGAAUAUUGGACAAUGGGGGCAACCCUGAUCCAGCCAUGCCGCGUGAGUGAUGACGGCCUUAGGGUUGUAAAGCUCUUUUCUCCGGGACGAUAAUGACGGUACCGGAGGAAUAAGCCCCGGCUAACUUCGUG
Molecule: ribosomal RNA, 437 nt
Filed under: uncultured bacterium
Lineage: Bacteria
Description: partial 16S ribosomal RNA
Rfam family: Bacterial small subunit ribosomal RNA
Source: RNAcentral